RNAcentral lists this ribosomal RNA (145 nucleotides) under uncultured Clostridium sp. Its description in RNAcentral is "partial 16S ribosomal RNA". It matches the Rfam family "Bacterial small subunit ribosomal RNA", at positions 350 to 512 of the family's 1533-position model. Lineage: Bacteria; Bacillati; Bacillota; Clostridia; Eubacteriales; Clostridiaceae. The record is from RNAcentral.
AGCAGUGGGGAAUAUUGCACAAUGGGGGAAACCCUGAUGCAGCAACGCCGCGUGAGUGAUGAAGGCCUUCGGGUUGUAAAGCUCUGUCUUCAGGGACGAUAAUGACGGUACCUGAGGAGGAAGCCACGGCUAACUACGUGCCAGC